RNAcentral lists this ribosomal RNA (360 nucleotides) under Bacillus thuringiensis. RNAcentral's name for it is "bacterial SSU rRNA". It matches the Rfam family "Bacterial small subunit ribosomal RNA", at positions 1 to 348 of the family's 1533-position model. Lineage: Bacteria; Bacillati; Bacillota; Bacilli; Caryophanales; Bacillaceae. The record is from RNAcentral.
UUUAUUGGAGAGUUUGAUCCUGGCUCAGGAUGAACGCUGGCGGCGUGCCUAAUACAUGCAAGUCGAGCGAAUGGAUUAAGAGCUUGCUCUUAUGAAGUUAGCGGCGGACGGGUGAGUAACACGUGGGUAACCUGCCCAUAAGACUGGGAUAACUCCGGGAAACCGGGGCUAAUACCGGAUAACAUUUUGAACCGCAUGGUUCGAAAUUGAAAGGCGGCUUCGGCUGUCACUUAUGGAUGGACCCGAGUCGCAUUAGCUAGUUGGUGAGGUAACGGCUCACCAAGGCAACGAUGCGUAGCCGACCUGAGAGGGUGAUCGGCCACACUGGGACUGAGACGCGGCGCAGACUCCUACGGGAGG